UGGGGAAUAUUGCACAAUGGGGGAAACCCUGAUGCAGCGAUGCCGCGUGGAGGAAGAAGGUUUUCGGAUUGUAAACUCCUGUCUUAAAGGACGAUAAUGACGGUACUUUAGGAGGAAGCUCCGGCUAACUACGUGCCAGCAGCCGCGGUAAUACGUAGGGAGCGAGCGUUGUCCGGAAUUACUGGGUGUAAAGGGAGCGUAGGCGGGACGGCAAGUCAGAUGUGAAAUACAUGGGCUCAACCCAUGGGCUGCAUUUGAAACUGCUGUUCUUGAGUGAAGUAGAGGUAAGCGGAAUUCCUGGUGUAGCGGUGAAAUGCGUAGAUAUCAGGAGGAACACCGGUGGCGAAGGCGGCUUACUGGGCUUUUACUGACGCUGAGGCUCGAAAGCGUGGGGAGCAAACA
Molecule: ribosomal RNA, 402 nt
Filed under: uncultured bacterium
Lineage: Bacteria
Description: bacterial SSU rRNA
Rfam family: Bacterial small subunit ribosomal RNA
Source: RNAcentral